UCAGGAUGAACGCUAGCGGCAGGCUUAACACAUGCAAGUCGAGGGGCAGCGCGAGUAGCAAUACUUGGCGGCGACCGGCGCAAGGGUGCGUAACGCGUGAGCAACAUGCCCGUAUCAGGGGGAUAAUCCAGGGAAACUUGGUCUAAUACCCAUAGUAAUUUUUGUAAGGCAUCUUAUAAGAUUUUAAAGCUUUGGUGGAUACGGAUUGGCUCGCGUGACAUUAGCUGGAUGGUAAGGUAACGGCUUACCAUGGCUAUGAUGUCUAGGGGUUCUGAGAGGAAGGUCCCCCCACACUGGAACUGAGACACGGUCCAGACUCCUACGGGAGGCAGCAGUGAGGAAUAUUGGACAAUGGAUGGAAAUCUGAUCCAGCCAUGCCGCGUGAAGGAAGAAAGGUCCUAUGGAUUGUAAACUUCUUUUGUAUGGGAGCAAUAAGGCCUACGAGUAGGUUGAUGAGAGUACCAUACGAAUAAGCACCGGCUAACUCCGUGCCAGCAGCUGC
RNAcentral lists this ribosomal RNA (502 nucleotides) under uncultured bacterium. RNAcentral's name for it is "bacterial SSU rRNA". It matches the Rfam family "Bacterial small subunit ribosomal RNA", at positions 24 to 518 of the family's 1533-position model. The record is from RNAcentral.